Molecule: ribosomal RNA, 292 nt
Filed under: uncultured bacterium
Lineage: Bacteria
Description: partial 16S ribosomal RNA
Rfam family: Bacterial small subunit ribosomal RNA
Source: RNAcentral
GUGCCAGCCGCCGCGGUAAGACGAACCGUGCGAACGUUGUUCGGAAUCACUGGGCUUAAAGGGCGCGUAGGCGGGCUGCCAAGUCCGCGGUGAAAUCCCCCGGCUCAACCGGGGAACUGCCGCGGAUACUGGAAGUCUCGAGGGAGGUAGGGGCAUGCGGAACUGCGGGUGGAGCGGUGAAAUGCGUUGAUAUCCGCAGGAACUCCGGUGGCGAAGGCGGCGUGCUGGACCUCUUCUGACGCUGAGGCGCGAAAGCCAGGGGAGCGAACGGGAUUAGAUACCCCAGUAGUCC